Molecule: ribosomal RNA, 253 nt
Filed under: uncultured bacterium
Lineage: Bacteria
Description: partial 16S ribosomal RNA
Rfam family: Bacterial small subunit ribosomal RNA
Source: RNAcentral
UACGUAGGGGGCUAGCGUUGUCCGGAAUCAUUGGGCGUAAAGAGCGUGUAGGCGGCCCGGUAAGUCCGCUGUGAAAGUCGGGGGCUCAACCCUCGAAUGCCGGUGGAUACUGUCGGGCUAGAGUGCGGAAGAGGCGAGUGGAAUUCCUGGUGUAGCGGUGAAAUGCGCAGAUAUCAGGAGGAACACCGAUGGCGAAGGCAGUUCUCUGGGCCGUAACUGACGCUCAGGCACGAAAGCGUGGGGAGCAAACAGG